Octopus bimaculoides (California two-spot octopus) is the source of this 1849-nucleotide long non-coding RNA. The record is from RefSeq and is a predicted model, not a curated record. Lineage: Eukaryota; Metazoa; Mollusca; Cephalopoda; Octopoda; Octopodidae.
UUCAGUUCGUGUCAUGUUCAAUAGUGACUCAUGGUGCACAAACUUUUUCCUCAAACUAGUAUUUAACCAACUCCAGCACUGGAUAUUAACCCCUGGAAGAAUACAAAUCUAAGUUGAUCACUGCAGAAUUUGAACCAGAACCAUCUCAACUGAAAAUUCUUACAUGCUGUACCGAAGAAUGCAGCUACUUCUCAAGUUUGGAGCAAAGUUCAAGGUCGUCCAUGAAAAUUUGAUGUACAACAACGCCACCAACAGCGACUCAGAUGGAUAUUGACUCUUGAAGUGUUUACACUUUCAUCCCCGUAUUUCAUGACAUCUGCUGAACGACCUCGAGAACGACAUUUCCGAUUCAUCGGGUUCGUUAGAAAACAAACCACCACAAAAUAUUAAGUGGCAAGCACCUCUGCUCUCUAAGGUUCUUUGUCCCCAUCACACCCUCGCAACAUUCAAAUUUCUAAUUAGAUUGUUGCCCACCAUUAAGGAAUAGACACAGAAGAAACCCGACUACCAUUAAAACAAGUGUUUCCUUACAGUUAAGAGAAAGAUUAAAAAAAAAAAAAAGAAUGAAAAAAAGAAUGAAAGAAAGAAAAAUCGGAAGAACAAACAACUCGGUUCAUAGACGUUCUGAUUACGUCUGGAGAUUAAAUAUUAAAUUAAUGAUGUACUUGAUGGAAAGUAAAAAUACACACACAACGUACGCGCACUGUGGUUAAAUGGUUCCGGAGUUCGUUGGCAAAUUGUCUUGAUACUUUUCAGCCACGUGGCAGUGGUCAUGACAGAGCAGAAACGUGAAAAACAAAGGUUAUUUAAGGUUUAAAAAAAAAGCCGAAAGGGUACCGUUAUCGGGCUGCGUGCUUAGAAUAUCAGUUGGUUUCGACUAUACACUCUAAUGAUCGUCUAUGUCGGUGGUUCCCAAAGUGGGUGUUACUGCCCCCUCCCCUGGGAGGAGUGAAAUGAUUCCGGGGGGAGGGGGGCGUUGAACAAAAGUGAGGCGAUAAUGGCGUGGCUACACGGGGGUGAUGGAUGUGUUAAUAAUGGGUUUAUUAGGUUAAAGUUUUAUUUGUGAAAUAAGGUUGUUUUGAAUUUGUUUCAGAAAAUGGUCUCCGUUUAUGAGGAUGAGGGGUGGUGGUGGUGGUGGUCGUCGUCGGCGCUGAGAAUAUCACUUGGGUGCCAAGGGGGCAGCAACCCCCAAAACUUCAGGAAUUACUGGACUAUGUCAUAAGUUGGCUAUGCUGACUUCAAGUCCUCUUUGAGGAACAUUCAGUUUAGUGUUACCCUUAACGGAUAACCCUGAAAACUUUUUACCAAGCAGGUCACUAAGCAGAAAUGAUUUUCUAUCACAUAUCCAUGCACACACAUUUAUGAGGGAUAAUGAUACCUUGUUUUGUUUUAUUUUUUUUUAAGGCGGCGAGUUGGUAUACUCAUUAGCACGCCGGGUAAAAUGUCUGUCUUUACGUUCUCAAUUCAAAUUCCGCCGAGGUCGACUUUGCUUUCAUCCUUUCGUGGUCGAUAAAAUACGUCCCAGUUGAACUCUGGGGUCCAUGGUAUCGACUUAUUCCUCCUCUAAAAUUGCUGACCUUGUGCCAAAAUUUGAAACCUCGCUCUCUCUCUCACAUACAUACAUACAUAAUUCUGAGUAGACGCAAUGUUAGCAGUUGCAAUUAGAGUGUUAAUGUUCCCGGCAUUAGCUAACGAGAAACGGAUGUCCUAUCAAACGCUCGCGCACACAUUAGUGGAGAUUGUUUUUAUUCUGACUAGAUGCAAUGUUAAUAGUUGCAGAUAAGUUAGUGUUACACACCUAAUGUUUUUAAAUGUUCCCAGCAUUAGCUAAUUAGUUAUAAUUAAACAG